This 643-nucleotide ribosomal RNA is filed under the name uncultured Actinomycetes bacterium. RNAcentral's name for it is "bacterial SSU rRNA". It matches the Rfam family "Bacterial small subunit ribosomal RNA", at positions 232 to 885 of the family's 1533-position model. Lineage: Bacteria; Bacillati; Actinomycetota; Actinomycetes. The record is from RNAcentral.
CGCGGCCUAUCAGCUUGUUGGUGGGGUAAUGGCCUACCAAGGCGACGACGGGUAGCCGGCCUGAGAGGGCGACCGGCCACACUGGGACUGAGACACGGCCCAGACUCCUACGGGAGGCAGCAGUGGGGAAUAUUGCGCAAUGGGCGAAAGCCUGACGCAGCGACGCCGCGUGAGGGAUGACGGCCUUCGGGUUGUAAACCUCUUUCAGCUCUGACGAAGCGAGAGUGACGGUAGGAGCAGAAGAAGCACCGGCCAACUACGUGCCAGCAGCCGCGGUAAUACGUAGGGUGCAAGCGUUGUCCGGAAUUAUUGGGCGUAAAGAGCUCGUAGGCGGUUUGUCGCGUCGAAUGUGAAAACCCGGGGCUCAACUCCGGGCCUGCAUUCGAUACGGGCAGACUAGAGUUCGGUAGGGGAGACUGGAAUUCCUGGUGUAGCGGUGAAAUGCGCAGAUAUCAGGAGGAACACCGGUGGCGAAGGCGGGUCUCUGGGCCGAUACUGACGCUGAGGAGCGAAAGCGUGGGGAGCGAACAGGAUUAGAUACCCUGGUAGUCCACGCCGUAAACGCUGGGCGCUAGGUGUGGGGGUCCUUCCACGACCUCCGUGCCGCAGCUAACGCAUUAAGCGCCCCGCCUGGGGAGUACGG